RNAcentral lists this ribosomal RNA (671 nucleotides) under uncultured Vibrio sp. RNAcentral's name for it is "bacterial SSU rRNA". It matches the Rfam family "Bacterial small subunit ribosomal RNA", at positions 56 to 705 of the family's 1533-position model. The record is from RNAcentral. Lineage: Bacteria; Pseudomonadati; Pseudomonadota; Gammaproteobacteria; Vibrionales; Vibrionaceae.
UGCAGUCGAGCGGCAGCGACAACAUUGAUUCUUCGGAGGAUUUGUUGGGCGGCGAGCGGCGGACGGGUGAGUAAUGGCUGGGAACCUGCCCUGACGUGGGGGAUAACAGUUGGAAACGACUGCUAAUACCGCAUGAUGUCUUCGGACCAAAGAGGAGGACCUUCGGGCUUCUCGCGUCGGGAUGGGCCCAGUUGGGAUUAGCUAGUUGGUGAGGUAAUGGCUCACCAAGGCGACGAUCCCUAGCUGGUUUGAGAGGAUGAUCAGCCACACUGGAACUGAGACACGGUCCAGACUCCUACGGGAGGCAGCAGUGGGGAAUAUUGCACAAUGGGCGCAAGCCUGAUGCAGCCAUGCCGCGUGUGUGAAGAAGGCCUUCGGGUUGUAAAGCACUUUCAGCAGUGAGGAAGGCGUAGUGGUUAAUACCCGCUGCGCUUGACGUUAGCUGCAGAAGAAGCACCGGCUAACUCCGUGCCAGCAGCCGCGGUAAUACGGAGGGUGCGAGCGUUAAUCGGAAUUACUGGGCGUAAAGCGCAUGCAGGCGGUUUGUUAAGCAGGAUGUGAAAGCCCCGGGCUCAACCUGGGAACCGCAUUUUGAACUGGCAGGCUAGAGUCUUGUAAGGGGGGGGUAGAAUUUCAGGUGUAGCGGUGAAAUGCGUUAGAGAUCUGAAGGA